Molecule: transfer RNA, 73 nt
Filed under: Mus musculus (house mouse)
Lineage: Eukaryota; Metazoa; Chordata; Mammalia; Rodentia; Muridae
Description: tRNA-Gly
Source: RNAcentral
GGAGAGGUGGCUCAGGGGUUAAGAGCAUUGACUGCCCUUCUGAAGAUCCUGAGUUCAAAUCCCAGCAACCACA